CCUACGGGAGACAGCAGUGGGGAAUAUUGGGCAAUGGACGAAACUCUGACCCAGCAAUGCCGCGUGCAUGAAGAAGGUCUUCGGAUUGUAAAGUUCUUUAGUCAGGGAAGAAUACAAUGACGGUACCUGACGAAUAAGCUCCGGCUAACUACGUGCCAGCAGCCGCUGUAAUCCGUAAGGAGCACGCGUUGUUAGGAAUGACUGGGCGUAAAGGUUUCGUAGGCGGUAAUACAAGUUAGAAGUGAAAUACCCAGGGCUUAACUCGGGUGCUGCUUCUAAAACUGUAAGACUUGAGUGCAGUAGAGGUGAGUGGAAUGCCUAGUGUAGCGGUGGAAUGCGUAGAGAUUAUGAGGAACACCAGAGGCGAAGGCGGCUAACUGGACUGCAUCUGACGCUGAGGCACGAAAGUGUGGGGAGCAAACAGGAUUAGAUACCCGAGUAGUC
RNAcentral lists this ribosomal RNA (444 nucleotides) under uncultured bacterium. Its description in RNAcentral is "partial 16S ribosomal RNA". It matches the Rfam family "Bacterial small subunit ribosomal RNA", at positions 338 to 795 of the family's 1533-position model. The record is from RNAcentral.